RNAcentral lists this ribosomal RNA (512 nucleotides) under Candida albicans. Its description in RNAcentral is "eukaryotic LSU rRNA". The stretch from base 145 to 298 matches the Rfam family "5.8S ribosomal RNA". Lineage: Eukaryota; Fungi; Ascomycota; Pichiomycetes; Serinales; Debaryomycetaceae. The record is from RNAcentral.
GGGGGCUCUGAGUGCUUAUUGCACCACAUGUGUUUUUCUUUGAAACAAACUUGCUUUGGCGGUGGGCCCAGCCUGCCGCCAGAGGUCUAAACUUGCAACCAAUUUUUUAUCAACUUGUCACACCAGAUUAUUACUAAUAGUCAAAACUUUCAACAACGGAUCUCUUGGUUCUCGCAUCGAUGAAGAACGCAGCGAAAUGCGAUACGUAAUAUGAAUUGCAGAUAUUCGUGAAUCAUCGAAUUUUUGAACGCACAUUGCGCCCUCUGGUAUUCCGGAGGGCAUGCCUGUUUGAGCGUCGUUUCUCCCUCAAACCGCUGGGUUUGGUGUUGAGCAAUACGACUUGGGUUUGCUUGAAAGACGGUAGUGGUAAGGCGGGAUCGCUUUGACAAUGGCUUAGGUCUAACCAAAAACAUUGCUUGCGGCGGUAACGUCUACCACGUAUAUCUUCAAACUUUGACCUCAAAUCAGGUAGGACUACCCGCUGAACUUAAGCAUAUCAAAAGACGGAGGAA